GUGGGGAAUAUUGGACAAUGGGCGAAAGCCUGAUCCAGCCAUGCCGCGUGUGUGAAGAAGGUCUUCGGAUUGUAAAGCACUUUAAGUUGGGAGGAAGGGCAGUAAGUUAAUACCUUGCUGUUUUGACGUUACCGACAGAAUAAGCACCGGCUAACUUCGUGCCAGCAGCCGCGGUAAUACGAAGGGUGCAAGCGUUAAUCGGAAUUACUGGGCGUAAAGCGCGCGUAGGGGGUUUUGUAAGUUGGAGGUGAAAUCCCCGGGCUCAACCUGGGAACUGCCUCAAAAACUGCAUGACUAGAGUACGGUAGAGGGUAGUGGAAUUUCCUGUGUAGCGGUGAAAUGCGUAGAUAUAGGAAGGAACACCAGUGGCGAAGGCGACUACCUGGACUGAUACUGACACUGAGGUGCGAAAGCGUGGGGAGCAAACAGGAUUAGAAACCCGGGUAGUCC
RNAcentral lists this ribosomal RNA (450 nucleotides) under uncultured bacterium. RNAcentral describes it as "partial 16S ribosomal RNA". It matches the Rfam family "Bacterial small subunit ribosomal RNA", at positions 354 to 796 of the family's 1533-position model. The record is from RNAcentral.